AUGAUUGUCCUCAAUCUACAUCUACUUUUUAACUAUCAUCUGAAAUCCUGAAUUGGAAGUUGGGUAUCCCACAAGAAAAAAUCCAAUCUUUUGCAGGGUAAAGCACAAAUGCAGUUCCAUACUACCACAGACACUGCAGUGAAUUUUCUCAUAUUUGAGGAAAUCACAGGGACAACCCAUCCAGCAUGUAAGAGGUAAGUCUUACCUUUGGGAAAGGAAGUGUCUAAAUCAUAUCCCCUCAGAUGAAAAGGGCUCUUGAUGCUAACUGAGUGUAGUUGUUUUUUGUCUUGUGACAUGGGUGGAAAUUCAAAAUGAGUAGAAGUAAAAAUGUCAAAGUAAAGCAUUGUGCUUUUACUAAACUGAAUUUCUUUUUCUUCAACUUACAAAAGAGUAAGAUUUCUAUUUGCAUUAUUGUCAAUGUUACAUCAAAUAUAAAGAUAUGAAUGUUUCAAAGGUAACAAAUCAAUUUUCUCCUUUUCCCAGAGUUUUCAUAAAAUGGGAAGUUUGGCCUUUUUGUUCUGACUUAGAACAACAAAAAUAUUGUGUUUGCAAUUUGCAAAUAUUGUGAUUCUGAGAAAUUCCAUUUUUUUAGCAGCUUAUUUCUCUCAUAGACUGACUAUGAAACACCAGUCUGUUUGUUUGGAAAAGGAAGGUUCCUGUCACUUGAAAACAUUCAUCUUGGAGAUAUCUUUAUUCACACAACUGCUAAACCUUAGUGAUCUCGUUGAGAUCUCUCCCUCAGCAGGAAGCGAGAGUGGCAGUGAGCUCAGUGACACUUUCUGGCCCAUGGAAGCUGGAUGUAUCCCACACCCAAACUAUCGAUCUAAAACAACAAACCACCUUAAUCACGCAAUACUUCUUGGCAUGUACAAAACACAAAGGAGGAGUUACAUUCCCAAACAAAGAGGAAUGCCUGUUCUCAUUAAGGGUUUCCCUCAACGCAGGGAAAACAAGGGGCAGGGUUCUCUCUCCAGGACAGACUGUGUUCAACACUCUUCUGCAUGGUUGCAAGUAAACAGGAGAUCUUGAAGGACAAGGUCUUAAAGCUUGUUUGUUUUAUAAGCAGAAGCUACCACCAUUCAGGAAAGCCAUGUUCAGUCUCUGAGCAAGUCCCCAAGUGUCUGUUCCAGUGUCCAAGAGGGGACAUAGAAGACAAGAUAGCUCCUGAUUUCAGUCAUCUGACUUCUACUGUGAGAAAACACUUCUGCUAUUAUCUUGCCUUAAUAAUUUGGCUGUUCUUUCUUAACACUCGUUUGUUUUGCUGACAGAGUCGGGCCCAUGGAAACUACUUUACCUAGGUUUAAAAGUUCAUCCUGUUCUACCUUUUAAUAGAACAACAAAACUUCCCUGUAAACCCAGCUCCCAGAAUUGACUACAACCCUAGUAAAGCUGGCUCUGACCAAAUGUUGGCACCAUUUUCAUAAACCACAAGUUUUGACAAGCUUUUUCCUUCUUCUCUGCUAGCAUUUAAUAUAUCUUUCUCUCCAGGUAUACCAGUCAGGAAUAAAUCUGCCACAGGCAUGAGUCUCUAAAGAAACAAGAAUUGCCUUUGACAGGAUGUCAAACCUUUAGGGUAGGUUUAUUGUGUCCUGUGCAGCUCACAUGCUGAAAAAGAGUUUCAUCUUUCACUUUUUCAUAAUAUGCCUUUAACUAUACUUUUUCCCUUAAUAUGGACAGCUUUGUCUACACAUGCUUAAACCUUUCAGUCACUUAACCACAUAGGCCACAGAAUAGAAUUCCUUCCAAGAAUUGAAAGAAAAGUAACUAAGAACCUGAACAGCUAUUUCAUCCUGAAAACACUAACAUAGAUCUAAUGAAAUUUAAAAUAUUUUUCAUAGCAGGAGAAAAUAACUAAAUCUGCCUUCAAAAAUUUAAGGCUCAUGCUAAGAUGUAACAUUAGCUUUCCAAGCAAAACAUACAUGAAGUAUUUCUAAUCAUGCUCAGACUAGAACAAGCCCAACUUAAUCUUGGAUUUAAGUUCAUUAAACAAAAUCACUUCAUGCAGCUCAAAAAGCCUUGUUCACAGCAUGGCUCCAUAUCAUCAGAGGGAAAAGAUGUAUGUUGAGAAAUCUUCAUAGUGGAAAAAAAUCUUUCCAGUUACACCAGAAGCCACAGAGGGAGUUUUGUCAGGAUGUUACUCCUGAUCUUCAGGAGAAAUUUCCUGAAUAUUAUUUUGAAGACUGCCUUAAAAUCAAUCUGGAUCUAUUUCUUCUUGUUUUGCUAAAAACGGCACAGAGAUGACCUAGAAUCUUUAUUACAACUGGUGUUGGUCUUUGUUGAAAAAGCUCAGUAUUUCUGAGAGGCUUUCUUUGUUAAGAAAAUUAAAAAUCUUAAGUCAACUUCUUCCCGACCUAGUGAUGCUGACAGCUGUGCCAGCUCCACCACAGCACAGACAGCGAAGGCUUCAGCCACAGGAAGGUGCAUGGAAACGACCAACAGAGACCACACCAACACGGAAUUUAUUACUUCCACAUUUUUUUCUUUGUUCCCAAAGCAAAUCCACUUGGUUAACCUUUGCUAUCACAUCUGUAAAAUGGUGUUAAAAGAGACCGUCACAGGGAAAGCUGUUAUGAAGCUUACUGGCAAAUAUAGGUCUCAAACCCCAUUUAUUUCCUUAAGAGCAAACUCAGAACUGUCGUAAUUCUCAAACUUGGGCACUAUCUUACAGUUGCAGCAACUCAAGCAGCAGGAGUUCCCUUACACCUCCUAUCCCUCCCCCAGCCUUUUGCUUCCUCCCCAGUGCACAUCCAGUUGUGCUGUGAGCCAGAUCAGGGAACUAACCCAGGCUUCAAAGCAAAGCACAGCCCCUUCCCUCUCCCCUGCCUGCCUUUUCAAGUGAAUUCAAUUCCCUGACCUGAUUGCCAGUCCCAUAAACAGCUGCACCUUCCUAACUCCUUAUGUCAGUACUGCUGCUGCACUCCCCACACGGUGUUAUCUAUAAAGUGUUUGGUUUGUGGGUUUGUUUGGUUUUUUAAAGAAAUCUUAUUAUGUAUGACCUACUACCUCUGGGAAACUGGAGUAGGCUAAUGACAGGAAGGGUGGGUAUCCCUGUCUCUCUGUAAGGAAAGAGAGAAAUGCCUAGCAGUUACCAAGUCUCUGAAUCUUUCUUCAAAGCCCUGAAGAGGUGAGCAUUUGAAACACAAAGAGAAACCCCUCACUCAUCAACUACAGAACACUAUUUUCCCUACAAUAUCCUAAAAGCCCUUAGGUAUUUCAAGUAUGUUCAGAGAAGAAAGGAAAAAAAGAAACAAAAAAAA
Molecule: long non-coding RNA, 3257 nt
Organism: Sturnus vulgaris (Common starling)
Lineage: Eukaryota; Metazoa; Chordata; Aves; Passeriformes; Sturnidae
Source: RefSeq, a predicted model, not a curated record